Molecule: long non-coding RNA, 548 nt
Organism: Corticium candelabrum
Lineage: Eukaryota; Metazoa; Porifera; Homoscleromorpha; Homosclerophorida; Plakinidae
Exons: 2
Source: RefSeq, a predicted model, not a curated record
GGAAAGUGUUGCACGUGGUGAGAAGAUGAAUUGAGUGAGGUCAAAGCCAGUUCGAAGCGACGACUUUGGGUGCGAUGAUGAAGCAGUGCGUGGCAGCGUUUGUAGCGGAUGAGCGACUUGCUGCUAAAGUUCUGUUUUCUUGCCUCAAUAAGACAGAAGCAGCGAAGGACCGUAUUGAAUUAGCAAGAAAUCUUCUUGAUGUUCUAGUUAACAAAGAGGAGCAGGCUUCCUGCACUGCAAGCGGCAAGGUCUCCGGGGAGGAUGCACUGGACAUGCAGUCGCAAAUUGAAUGCGCUCAAACGUAUGGUUAUAUGUGUUUGCACCAGGACCUCUAAGUUACUCUUUUAACUUCGUUUUGUUUUUUGCUUGAUGAGAUUUCCUCCAACGGCAGAAGAAAAUGCUAAGACUGUAUUGUCAAGAUUAAUUAACAAAGUCCUAGGUGACAAACGUCGAUUCCAAGCGAGGAAAUGACUGUUAUACUAGUCAUAGAUCUGCAAGUGAGCUAGAGAUAGAGGUAUUUUGCAAUACGGAUGCUUUGAUUGAACUAA